AUUUGGAGAGUUUGAUCCUGGCUCAGGACGAACGCUGGCGGCGUGCCUAAUACAUGCAAGUCGAGCGGAGCUUAUCCUUCGGGGUAAGCUUAGCGGCGGACGGGUGAGUAACACGUAGGCAAC
Molecule: ribosomal RNA, 123 nt
Filed under: Paenibacillus sp. P46E
Lineage: Bacteria; Bacillati; Bacillota; Bacilli; Caryophanales; Paenibacillaceae
Description: partial 16S ribosomal RNA
Rfam family: Bacterial small subunit ribosomal RNA
Source: RNAcentral